RNAcentral lists this ribosomal RNA (500 nucleotides) under uncultured bacterium. Its description in RNAcentral is "partial 16S ribosomal RNA". It matches the Rfam family "Bacterial small subunit ribosomal RNA", at positions 30 to 523 of the family's 1533-position model. The record is from RNAcentral.
AUUGAACGCUGGCGGCAUGCCUUACACAUGCAAGUCGAACGGCAGCACGGGAGCAAUCCUGGUGGCGAGUGGCGAACGGGUGAGUAAAGUAUCGGAACGUGCCCAGUCGUGGGGGAUAACGUAGCGAAAGUUACGCUAAUACCGCAUACGAUCUAUGGAUGAAAGCGGGGGAUCGCAAGACCUCGCGCGAUUGGAGCGGCCGAUAUCAGAUUAGGUAGUUGGUGGGGGAAAGGCUCACCAAGCCGACUAUCUGUAGCUGGUCUUGGAGGACGACCAGCCACACUGGGACUGAGACACGGCCCAGACUCCUACGGGAGGCAGCAGUGGGGAAUUUUGGACAAUGGGCGAAAGCCUGAUCCAGCCAUGCCGCGUGCAGGAUGAAGGCCUUCGGGUUGUAAACUGCUUUUGUACGGAACGAAAAGGUUUGGCCUAAUAAGCUGAGCUCAUGACGGUACCGUAAGAAUAAGCACCGGCUAACUACGUGCCAGCAGCCGCGGUAA